RNAcentral lists this ribosomal RNA (544 nucleotides) under uncultured archaeon. RNAcentral's name for it is "bacterial SSU rRNA". It matches the Rfam family "Archaeal small subunit ribosomal RNA", at positions 335 to 879 of the family's 1478-position model. The record is from RNAcentral.
CCAGGCGCGAAAACUUUACCAUGCGGGAAACCGUGAUAAGGGGACACCGAGUGCCAGCAUCAUAUGCUGGCUGUCCAGGUGUGUAAAAUACACCUGUUAGCAAGGGCCGGGCAAGACCGGUGCCAGCCGCCGCGGUAACACCGGCGGCCCGAGUGGUGAUCGUGAUUAUUGGGUCUAAAGGGUCCGUAGCCGGUUUGGUCAGUCCUCCGGGAAAUCUGAUAGCUUAACUAUUAGGCUUUCGGAGGAUACUGCCAGACUUGGAACCGGGAGAGGUAAGAGGUACUACAGGGGUAGGAGUGAAAUCUUGUAAUCCCUGUGGGACCACCUGUGGCGAAGGCGUCUUACCAGAACGGGUUCGACGGUGAGGGACGAAAGCUGGGGGCACGAACCGGAUUAGAUACCCGGGUAGUCCCAGCCGUAAACGAUGCUCGCUAGGUGUCAGGCAUGGCGCGACCGUGUCUGGUGCCGCAGGGAAGCCGUGAAGCGAGCCACCUGGGAAGUACGGCCGCAAGGCUGAAACUUAAAGGAAUUGGCGGGGGAGCAC